GGGGAAUAUUGGACAAUGGGCGAAAGCCUGAUCCAGCAAUGCCGCGUGUGUGAAGAAGGCCUUCGGGUUGUAAAGCACUUUAAGUGGGAAAGAAGUUCAUUCAAUUAAUACCUGGAUGGAUUGACGUUACCCACAGAAUAAGCACCGGCUAACUCCGUGCCAGCAGCCGCGGUAAUACGGAGGGUGCAAGCGUUAAUCGGAAUUACUGGGCGUAAAGCGCAUGUAGGCGGUUUGAUCAGUCGGAUGUGAAAUCCCCGAGCUUAACUUGGGAAUGGCAUUCGAUACUGUCAAGCUAGAGUAGGCUAGAGGAAAGGGGAAUUCCGCGUGUAGCAGUGAAAUGCGUAGAUAUGCGGAGGAACACCAAUGGCGAAGGCACCUUUCUGGGGUCAUACUGACGCUGAGAUGCGAAAGCGUGGGGAGCAAAC
RNAcentral lists this ribosomal RNA (425 nucleotides) under uncultured bacterium. RNAcentral describes it as "bacterial SSU rRNA". It matches the Rfam family "Bacterial small subunit ribosomal RNA", at positions 356 to 773 of the family's 1533-position model. The record is from RNAcentral.